CUCUUUCUUUCGCGAUUUCAAAGAUGAAAUGGAAACUGAAGUUGAUUUCAAGCAAAUCGGAGGAACAACCGACGUUAUUUACCUCCGGCGAUCGUUCCUGCUACAGAUUAUCAUCCCCACCGACGCUUCGAUUCGAAAUCGGGGAUAAAUUCAACAGAUCUUCGAGUUUCGAUUCGAAAUCGGUGACAAUCGGUUUGUAAAGAGUGAAGUUGUGACGUAGUCUUUGGUAAUGGAAGACAUCAGGAAAGAAAUAGAUUUUGGUGAUUGGCAUUCAAAUCUCGCUCACGAUGAAUGGACACCACUCCCUGUUUCCGGCUCACCAGCAUCAGCUCGCUACAAGGUCAUUGAUUAGAUUUUUGUCUGUGGUUAAGCAUUUGAUUAAAUUGGAGAUAAUUUCUCCCUAAACCUUUUCGUGUGUUCUCUGGAAGCCGUAAUGGCCGAUACUUAUCUGAUGUCCAGGUGUUUGAUCUUAGAAGUUUGACUUGGUCGAGUUUGAAACUGAAAACUGAAUCAUCAAGUACUGAGAACAUUCAAGAGGAUGAUGGUAGCAGUUUACGGGAAGCUUUUUCUGCUAUUUCAGACCACCGCAUGAUUAAGUGGGGAAACAAGCUUCUUUUGAUUGGGGGACACUCCAAGAAGUCAUCAGAUAACAUGUCAGUGUGGUUCAUUGAUUUGGAAACACAUUUAUGUGGAGUCAUUGAUGUGUCUGGGAAUGUUCCAGCUUCACGUGGUGGACAUUCCAUUACACUGGUUGGAUCCGGAGUGCUUGUUUUUGGUGGGGAAGAUAAGAACAGGAGACUUUGUUCACGGACAUGACAAGUAUUCAUUGUAACCACAUGUUUCACUUUGCUUUGUACCACAAGUAACUUUGCUUCUUAACCAUGUAUAUGUUUUGUGUAGUCCACUAUAAAUAUGACCAUGUAAUAUCGCUUUGUAAUAUCAAUAAGUUUCAGACUC
Arabidopsis lyrata subsp. lyrata is the source of this 957-nucleotide RNA transcript. It is a transcript of the gene named acyl-CoA-binding domain-containing protein 5, with no coding region annotated. NCBI's taxonomy places the organism in Eukaryota, Viridiplantae, Streptophyta, Magnoliopsida, Brassicales, Brassicaceae. The record is from RefSeq and is a predicted model, not a curated record. The transcript is spliced from 6 exons.